AAUCUCAAAAAUCUUUGAAUACUCGUAAUAGAGGCGUUGAAACUUUGAAAAUUUAAAAUAUUUUGCUCGAAGGUAUUGGAAAUUAUAUUUGGAGGUCUUUGAGAUUAUGCUCGGAGGCCUCAUAAAUCUUAAAAAUCUUUGAAUGCUCCUAGUAAUAAAGGCGUUGAAACUUUAAAAAUUUAAAAUGUUUUGCCUAGAGCUGUUGGAAAUUAUGUCUGGAGGUCUUUGAUUGCUCCCCAUAAUAGAGGGGUUGAAACUUUAAAAAUUUAAAAUGCUUUGCCCAAAGGUCUUGG
This 293-nucleotide long non-coding RNA is filed under the name Durio zibethinus. RNAcentral's name for it is "long non-coding RNA (DZIB_LNC002001)". The record is from RNAcentral. Lineage: Eukaryota; Viridiplantae; Streptophyta; Magnoliopsida; Malvales; Malvaceae.